UGGCCGUAAACGAUGUGGACUUGGUGUUGGAAUGGCUCCGAGCUGCUCCAGUGCCGAAGGGAAGCUGUUAAGUCCACCGCCUGGGAAGUACGGUCGCAAGACUGAAACUUAAAGGAAUUGGCGGGGGAGGCACCGCAACGGGAGGAGCGUGCGGUUCAAUUGGAUUCAACGCCGGACAACUCACCAGGAGCGACGGUUACAUGAAGGCCAGGCUGAUGACCUUGCCUGAUUUUCCGAGAGGUGGUGCAUGGCGUAGUCGUGU
RNAcentral lists this ribosomal RNA (262 nucleotides) under uncultured archaeon. RNAcentral's name for it is "partial 16S ribosomal RNA". It matches the Rfam family "Archaeal small subunit ribosomal RNA", at positions 748 to 1009 of the family's 1478-position model. The record is from RNAcentral.